GUUUCAGCCGCCGCGGUAAUACGGAAGGUCCGGGCGUUAUCCGGAUUUAUUGGGUUUAAAGGGAGCGUAGGCCGGAGAUUAAGCGUGUUGUGAAAUGUAGGUGCUCAACAUCUGCACUGCAGCGCGAACUGGUUUCCUUGAGUACGCACAAAGUGGGCGGAAUUCGUGGUGUAGCGGUGAAAUGCUUAGAUAUCACGAAGAACUCCGAUUGCGAAGGCAGCUCACUGGAGCGCAACUGACGCUGAAGCUCGAAAGUGCGGGUAUCGAACAGGAUUAGAUACCCUGGUAGUCCGCACGGUAAACGAUGGAUGCCCGCUGUUGGUCUGAAUAGGUCAGCGGCCAAGCGAAAGCAUUAAGCAUCCCACCUGGGGAGUACGCCGGCAACGGUGAAACUCAAAGGAAUUGACGGGGGCCCGCACAAGCGGAGGAACAUGUGGUUUAAUUCGAUGAUACGCGAGGAACCUUACCCGGGCUUGAAUUGCAGAGGAAGGAUUUGGAGACAAUGACGCCCUUCGGGGUCUCUGUGAAGGUGCUGCAUGGUUGUCGUCAGCUCGUGCCGUGAGGUGUCGGCUUAAGUGCCAUAACGAGCGCAACCCCUCUCCUUAGUUGCCAUCAGGUCAGGCUGGGCACUCUGGGGACACUGCCACCGUAAGGUGUGAGGAAGGUGGGGAUGACGUCAAAUCAGCACGGCCCUUACGUCCGGGGCUACACACGUGUUACAAUGGCAGGUACAGAGAGAUGGUGUUCUGCAAAGCGCAUCUAAUCCUUAAAGCCUGUCUCAGUUCGGACUGGGGUCUGCAACCCGACCCCACGAAGCUGGAUUCGCUAGUAAUCGCGCAUCAGCCAUGGCGCGGUGAAUACGUUCCCGGGCCUUGUACACACCGCCCGUCAAAC
RNAcentral lists this ribosomal RNA (894 nucleotides) under uncultured bacterium. RNAcentral's name for it is "bacterial SSU rRNA". It matches the Rfam family "Bacterial small subunit ribosomal RNA", at positions 505 to 1402 of the family's 1533-position model. The record is from RNAcentral.